Molecule: ribosomal RNA, 253 nt
Filed under: uncultured bacterium
Lineage: Bacteria
Description: partial 16S ribosomal RNA
Rfam family: Bacterial small subunit ribosomal RNA
Source: RNAcentral
UACGUAGGGGGCAAGCGUUGUCCGGAAUCAUUGGGCGUAAAGCGCGCGUAGGCGGCCCGGUAAGUCCGCUGUGAAAGUCAAAGGCUCAACCUUUGAAAGCCGGUGGAUACUGUGGGGCUAGAGUCCGGAAGAGGCGAGUGGAAUUCCUGGUGUAGCGGUGGAAUGCGCAGAUAUCAGGAGGAACACCAAUAGCGAAGGCAGCUCGCUGGGACGGUACUGACGCUAAGGCGCGAAAGCGUGGGGAGCGAACAGG